This 468-nucleotide ribosomal RNA is filed under the name uncultured bacterium. Its description in RNAcentral is "partial 16S ribosomal RNA". It matches the Rfam family "Bacterial small subunit ribosomal RNA", at positions 28 to 507 of the family's 1533-position model. The record is from RNAcentral.
GACGAACGCUGGCGGCGUGCUUAACACAUGCAAGUCGAACGGAAAGGCCCUGCUUUUGUGGGGUGCUCGAGUGGCGAACGGGUGAGUAACACGUGAGUAACCUGCCCUUGACUUUGGGAUAACUUCAGGAAACUGGGGCUAAUACCGGAUAGGAGCUCCUGCUGCAUGGUGGGGGUUGGAAAGUUUCGGCGGUUGGGGAUGGACUCGCGGCUUAUCAGCUUGUUGGUGGGGUAGUGGCUUACCAAGGCUUUGACGGGUAGCCGGCCUGAGAGGGUGACCGGCCACAUUGGGACUGAGAUACGGCCCAGACUCCUACGGGGGGCAGCAGUGGGGAAUAUUGCACAAUGGGCGGGAGCCUGAUGCAGCAACGCCGCGUGCGGGAUGACGGCCUUCGGGUUGUAAACCGCUUUCGCCUGUGACGAAGCGUGAGUGACGGUAAUGGGUAAAGAAGCACCGGCUAACUACGUG